Molecule: long non-coding RNA, 206 nt
Filed under: Gossypium raimondii (Peruvian cotton)
Lineage: Eukaryota; Viridiplantae; Streptophyta; Magnoliopsida; Malvales; Malvaceae
Description: long non-coding RNA (GRAI_LNC003673)
Source: RNAcentral
UAAGUUCGUAUGGUUAAAAUUUAACAUUUGUAUAAAUUGAUGAUUGAUAUUAUAUAUAUGUUCUAUUGUUGGAAAUGAAUUAUGGUUGGAAUUAUAUUAUCGAUUUUAAUACUCGGUUUGGAUUGAACGCGAGAUUUGAGUACAUUUGUGUUUGGUGUAUGACCGGGGUGUGGAGUGGAGAUGGUAUUGGAGGGAGAUAUCGGCAU